UCCCUGGACGACUAGUGGUUGGGCCGCAGCACUCUCAUGGCUGUGGCUCAGGUUCGAUUCCCAGCCAGGGAA
Molecule: transfer RNA, 72 nt
Filed under: Pangasianodon gigas (Mekong giant catfish)
Lineage: Eukaryota; Metazoa; Chordata; Actinopteri; Siluriformes; Pangasiidae
Description: tRNA-Glu
Source: RNAcentral